This 254-nucleotide ribosomal RNA is filed under the name uncultured bacterium. RNAcentral describes it as "partial 16S ribosomal RNA". It matches the Rfam family "Bacterial small subunit ribosomal RNA", at positions 524 to 776 of the family's 1533-position model. The record is from RNAcentral.
CACGUAGGGGGCAAGCGUUGUCCGGAUUUAUUGGGCGUAAAGAGCUCGUAGGUGGUUCGGUAAGUCAGGUGUGAAACCUCCAGGCUCAACCUGGAGACGCCACUUGAUACUGCUGUGACUGGAGUCCGGUAGGGGAGCGUGGAAUUCCUGGUGUAGCGGUGAAAUGCGCAGAUAUCAGGAGGAACACCAGCGGCGAAGGCGGCGCUCUGGGCCGGUACUGACACUGAGGCGCGAAGGCGUGGGGAGCGAACAGG